UACGUAGGGUGCAAGCGUUGUCCGGAAUCAUUGGGCGUAAAGCGCACGUAGGCGGUUCGUUAUGUCGGAUGUGAAAGCCCUUGGCUUAACCGAGGAAGUGCAUCCGAAACUGGCGAGCUAGAGUACGAAAGAGGAUCGCGGAAUUCCCGGUGUAGAGGUGAAAUUCGUAGAUAUCGGGAGGAACACCGGUGGCGAAGGCGGGUCUCUGGGCCGAUACUGACGCUGAGGAGCGAAAGCGUGGGGAGCGAACAGG
This 253-nucleotide ribosomal RNA is filed under the name uncultured bacterium. RNAcentral describes it as "partial 16S ribosomal RNA". It matches the Rfam family "Bacterial small subunit ribosomal RNA", at positions 524 to 776 of the family's 1533-position model. The record is from RNAcentral.